GACGAACGCUGGCGGCGUGCCUAAUACAUGCAAGUCGAACGCGGAAGAGAGGAGCUUGCUCUUCUUGGAUGAGUUGCGAACGGGUGCGUAACGCGUAGGUAACCUGACUUGUAGCGGGGGAUAACUAUUGGCAACGAUAGCUAAUACCGCAUAACAGUGUAUGACACAUGACAUUUAUUUGAAUGGGGCAAUUGCUCCACUACAAGAUGGACCUACGUUGUAUUAGCUGGUAGGUGAUGUAAUGGCUCAUCUAGGCGACGAUACAUAGCCGACCUGAGAGGGUGAUCAGACACACUGGGACUGAGACAAGGCCCAGCAUCCUACGGGAGGCAGCAGUAGGGAACCUUCGGCAAGGGGGGCAACCCUGACCGAGCAACGCCGCGUGAGUGAAGAAGGUUUUCGGAUCGUAAAGCUCUGUUGUAAGUCAAGAAUGGGUGUGAGAGUGGAAAGUUCACACUGUGACGGUAGCUGACCAGAAAGGGACGGCUAACUACGUG
This 497-nucleotide ribosomal RNA is filed under the name uncultured bacterium. RNAcentral's name for it is "partial 16S ribosomal RNA". It matches the Rfam family "Bacterial small subunit ribosomal RNA", at positions 28 to 507 of the family's 1533-position model. The record is from RNAcentral.